AUAUGUAAUACAACCACCAUUGUUAAUUCCCUACCACUUUGUUUGGAACUCUGUAUUGUCUGUAUUGUGCUUGUGAUAUGUUGUAAAAUGCUGUAUGUCUGUUAAUGUUUCCCUCCUUUUAUCCUUAAAAUAAAAAAAAAAAUAACUGUGGACCCUCUGGGAAAUACUUUACAUAAAUGAUAUUGUGGAAUCCUUAGAUCAGUGCUAUGAGGUACAUUUGCUUAUCUCAUACAGUUGCAGUCUCCUGAGGCUUCCCAGUUUGCCCAGUUAGAAAUGGGGAAUGUGGGCUUUCGAGUGAGAGGUGUCUAACCAAAUUUGUACUGCAGUCUUGCCUGGCAUAUGGCUUCUCCUUCUUUGUGCAGAUUUAUUUAUUCUUGCUGUAAAGUAUUAGUGGAUUUUUAAAGAAUAUUGGGUGUAAGUACAUGAGAAACACUGAAUUGCCAUGUAGCAGAUUCAACCAUUUCUUCCCUUGUUGUUUCUGGGGACUUGCAUCUUCCUGUCCUUUCCCUGGGCCUGAGGAGUUUCCAGGAAGCCUUAGGAGGGUGGAAACCAUUCUAGGUGACUACUGCAGAGGCUCUGCAGCAGUGAAGACAGAUGUGAGCAGAGCCAUGAGGCCUGGAGUUUCCCAGAUGGUUGCUGUUAUGUUUGUAUCUGGAUGUUCCCUAGAGCCUCUUGUGAUCAUAGGUGAGACCUUUGGAAGGUGACCGGGUCAUGGGGCAAUUACAGCUGAUGUACUGCUAGGAGA
Chinchilla lanigera (long-tailed chinchilla) is the source of this 745-nucleotide long non-coding RNA. NCBI's taxonomy places the organism in Eukaryota, Metazoa, Chordata, Mammalia, Rodentia, Chinchillidae. The record is from Ensembl.